ACCUGGCUGGCUCGGCCGGUAGAGCUUGCGACUCUUGAUCUCAGGAUCAUGAGUUCGAGACCCAUGUUGGGUG
Molecule: transfer RNA, 73 nt
Filed under: Felis catus (domestic cat)
Lineage: Eukaryota; Metazoa; Chordata; Mammalia; Carnivora; Felidae
Rfam family: tRNA
About the family: Transfer RNA (tRNA) molecules are approximately 80 nucleotides in length. Their secondary structure includes four short double-helical elements and three loops (D, anti-codon, and T loops).
Source: Rfam by way of RNAcentral